AGCAGCCGCGGUAAUUCCAGCUCCAAUAGCGUAUAUUAAAGUUGCUGCAGUUAAAAAGCUCGUAGUUGAAUUUCGGGAUCGAUAUAUCGGUCGUGCCUCGGUACGUACUGGUAUUUUCGGUUUCUACCUUCUGACGAACCUUGAUGUCAUUAAUUUGGUGUCUUGGGGAAUCAGGACUGUUACUUUGAAAAAAUUAGAGUGUUUAAAGCAGGCUCACGCUUGAAUACAUUAGCAUGGAAUAAUGAAAUAGGACGUUUGAUUCUAUUUUGUUGGUUUCUAGGAUCGACGUAAUGGUUAAUAGGGAUAGUUGGGGGCAUUAGUAUUCAAUUGUCAGAGGUGAAAUUCUUGGAUUUAUUGAAGACUAACUACUGCGAAAGCAUUUGCCAAGGAUGUUUUCAUUAAUCAAGAACGAAAGUUAGGGGAUCGAAGACGAUCAGAUACCGUCGUAGU
Molecule: ribosomal RNA, 450 nt
Filed under: uncultured Glomeromycotina
Lineage: Eukaryota; Fungi; Glomeromycota
Description: SSU rRNA
Rfam family: Eukaryotic small subunit ribosomal RNA
Source: RNAcentral